Molecule: ribosomal RNA, 303 nt
Filed under: uncultured bacterium
Lineage: Bacteria
Description: partial 16S ribosomal RNA
Rfam family: Bacterial small subunit ribosomal RNA
Source: RNAcentral
AGCAGUAGCCACGGUAAUACGUAGGGUGCAAGCGUUAAUCGGAAUUACUGGGCGCAAAGCGUGCGCAGGCGGUUCGUUAAGACAGAUGUGAAAUCCCCGGGCUUAACCUGGGAACUGCAUUUGUGACUGGCGGGCUAGAGUAUGGCAGAGGGGGGUAGAAUUCCACGUGUAGCAGUGAAAUGCGUAGAGAUGUGGAGGAAUACCGAUGGCGAAGGCAGCCCCCUGGGCCAAUACUGACGCCCAUGCACGAAAGCGUGGGGAGCAAACAGGAUUAGAUACCCGCGUAGUCCCUGUCUCUUAUAC